Molecule: ribosomal RNA, 163 nt
Filed under: uncultured bacterium
Lineage: Bacteria
Description: partial 16S ribosomal RNA
Rfam family: Bacterial small subunit ribosomal RNA
Source: RNAcentral
UAGGGAAUCUUCGGCAAUGGACGAAAGUCUGACCGAGCAACGCCGCGUGAGUGAAGAAGGUUUUCGGAUCGUAAAACUCUGUUGUUAGAGAAGAACAAGGAUGAGAGUAACUGUUCAUCCCUUGACGGUAUCUAACCAGAAAGCCACGGCUAACUACGUGCCA